GGGGAUUUAGCUCAGCGGCAUAAGCGCCUGCCUUGUAAGCAUGUGGUCGUGAGUUCAAUCCCUG
This is a transfer RNA of Cavia porcellus (domestic guinea pig), 64 nucleotides long. It matches the Rfam family "tRNA". Rfam says of the family: Transfer RNA (tRNA) molecules are approximately 80 nucleotides in length. Their secondary structure includes four short double-helical elements and three loops (D, anti-codon, and T loops). The record is from Rfam. NCBI's taxonomy places the organism in Eukaryota, Metazoa, Chordata, Mammalia, Rodentia, Caviidae.